AACGAACGCUGGCGGCAUGCCUAACACAUGCGAGUCGAACGAGACCUUCGGGUCUAGUGGCGCACGGGUGCGUAACGCGUGGGAACCUGCCCUUAGGUUCGGAAUAACUCCCCGAAAGGGGUGCUAAUACCGGAUAAUGUCUUCGGACCAAAGAUUUAUCGCCUUUGGAUGGGCCCGCGUUGGAUUAACUAGUUGGUAGGGUAAAAGCCUACCAAGGCGACGAUCCAUAGCUGGUCUGAGAGGAUGAUCAGCCACACUGGGACUGAGACACGGCCCAGACUCCUACGGGAGGCAGCAGUGGGGAAUAUUGGACAAUGGGCGAAAGCCUGAUCCAGCAAUGCCGCGUGAGUGAUGAAGGCCUUAGGGUUGUAAAGCUCUUUUACCCGGGAUGAUAAUGACAGUACCGGGAGAAUAAGCGCCGGCUAACUCCGUG
Molecule: ribosomal RNA, 433 nt
Filed under: uncultured bacterium
Lineage: Bacteria
Description: partial 16S ribosomal RNA
Rfam family: Bacterial small subunit ribosomal RNA
Source: RNAcentral